UUAAGGGCAUCCGAUACAGUUUCAAGGGAGUUAACUCUUGGCGCGACGUUAAGCGUUUGAAUUCCCGCAAAACGUCACUUUUUGCGGGACGUAAUGUGUGUCAUUUUCCGUAAUACGAAACGUAAUGUGGAAUUUCCAUGCUCCAAUUUCUGUUUCCGCAUGCUAAUUUCUACGCCAUUAAUAUUAGUCAGUGCAUUUGAUAACAUAAUAAGAAAUAAAACAUAUUACUGUUUCUUUGAGAUCUUCAACAAAUAUCGUAUAGUGAGCAAUCUCAAGACGACUGACCCUUUUGGUGUUACUAAUAUCAUGCAUGUCAAUUAAAAUUUUAUUAUCAUGCAUCAUCCACGAUUUGGUCCGGAUCCGAUUUUUUUAUUACAGCACAGAAAACCAAUGAUAUUUAAAAACUAAUACCGAAAAUGUAUGUACACGAAGAAGUCAAUUUCCUUUCUGAAAAAUUUAUUUAAUUUAUUUAUGUAAACAAAAAAAUAAUGGUAUGCCGCUAAUACAAACAAUGAUACAACUUUCAUAAAAGAACAAAGUUUCUAUUUCCUCCACGUUGCACGUAGUUUAUCUAACAAAAGGCAAUAGCAAACAAUAUGUUUAUACACCCGUAAAAAUUUUUACGGGACGGGACGUAAAAUGGUAUAGAAAUGCCCGCGUCAGUCUGUCCGUCGUAAAUAUGGUACAGCAUAUUAUCAUUAAACUGAACAUGGUUGUUUUUUCAGUCAUGAUUGUCAAACGGUCUGUAUCAUUUUUGGUGAACUUUAUAAGUUAGAGGACUUUGUAACUAGAACAGUUUUUUUUUUACAGUUCGCGCUGCAUCUAGAAAACGUUUUAUGACUAUUGCUCUAAACUUUACGCACUUCUUAGUUAUAUAAUUCUGAAGAACUUGUAUAUACUUUUGAGAAUGAUUCAGAAUUUGAUUUUAGAGUUAUUGAGUUUAUGACAAAAAGGGGCUGGGGGUUCACAUGUCGCGCCGUAUCUCAGAAACUAUCUAUAAUAAUUGCAUAGAUAUUCACAUACUUUUUAGUUAAAUUAUUCUUAAGAUCUGUAUACUUUUUCGUGAUGAUUGUUUAAUUCAUUUUUGAGUUCUUGAAUUUUUAUUGAGCUUCAAUUUGGGGAUCAUAUAAAACAUGUUGUGAUAUAUAAACUUAUUAUUGAGCAAGAAUAAUGAAUGAGUCAGGAUAUACCUAGCAUGACUUCCGUACAACCCCCGUGUUAUUUUAAAAACAUAUAUUAUGUUAGGUUUUUUUUCAUGAGACGAAGGGCGUAUCAUGCGCUCGAAGCGCAGCUGUUUAUUUUUUCUUUAUUUUUUUUAUAGAUAUAUUAGAGAAAUGACGGAAUGACAGAAAAUACAAUGCAAUUUUCAAUAUAAUUAAUAUUUCCAAAUGGCAUAACUCUUUUAAAGAAUAGUUGAUAUGCACUGAUUUUCGAACGUGUCCAUACGAUAUCAGUUUUAUAGAAAGUUGGCAAGAAUUGUACACUUGAAAAAUCUAAUUAACCAGAAGUCCGGAAGGACAGAAAGGAGAAUGGACAUGCGGUAUUUUAUGUACGCGCUGUGGUGAAAAAAAGAUAUAGUUAUUUACCAAUAAAAUUACGCUAUGAGAGAAUGAUUUUAAUUACCACUAAUCGUGAUAUAUUCAGUCCUCUCGCUAUUAAUUCAAUCAUUUUUUUGCCAAAUCAAAAAUUUCAAAAUUAUAGUUUCUCUGUCUGGACAAAAGCAUCCAUUAGCAAAUUGAAGAUUCUCCUUUGUAAGAUUUUGCUUCUGUUUUCUGACCACAUAAAACAGAAGAUGUGGUAUAAUUGCCAAUUAGACAACUCUCAUCAAGAGACAAACAUGACACAGAAAUUAACAACUAUAGGUCUUCAACAAUGAGCAAAGCCCAUACCGCAUAGUCAGCUAUAAAAGGUCCCGAAAUGACAAGGUAAAACAACUUAAACGAGAAAAGUAACGGCAAAUUUGAUUACUGUCCAAACGACGCUAACUUUUUAAAAAUUCGUAUCAACAAAAACGGAUUUUCUCAGUGAUAAAAACAAACAAAACAAAACAAAAAACAACAUCUAGAGGUCAUCAUACAGUAUGAAAUAAUAAACGAGUGUGUACAGUAAAUGUACCUGUAUGUCAUGUUCUAAAUUGCCGAGUCUUAAAUUUUUGAAAGCCGUAAAAAUUAUCAACAGUCCGUAAUAACUUUUCUUGAGAAGUUUCUCACUUAGACCACAAACACAGAGAGGUAUUUGUUAUUCACAUGAUUUUACUUCCGAAAACAAUGUUACCAAUUUAUAGAUAGUACUUUACAAGUAAUAUUUAUACAUCUGAAAAAUGUCGCCGGUAAUUUGAAGCGAUAACGUCGAAAUUGUCUGCCAGCGACGUCGUGCACUUUAGCGCUAACGUUGAGGUUACAAAGGGGUGACGCAAUUUUUUAGGAUAAAUCGUGAUUAUCAUGGAAUCCAGCACGGUGACCUAUAUUUUUUAUUUGAGAUUUGGAGAAAGCAUGACAAAAUGCCGUUUAUGCAGAAAAAUGAUAAAAAUGACAUUUUCAGAAACAGUUUUUUUCCAUUUUUUUAGGUUUAGAAAAAUACCACUUUGAGCAUCUGGUCCGCAAUGUCAAGCAAGACUUGAAUAAUUUUAUAGUUAUUCGUAUAGUGAUUUAUUUUUUUCCUUAUUGCCACUUAUCACAGCUUCAGAUUGAACCCGAUCUUAAUAAUUUACGACGAAGAAUAUCUGCUCCAAAAAUUUUAUAACAUUGCCUAAUUUUUUUACAAAAUUGAACAAAUCCCCAAUUUUCAGCCUCAAUUUUCUCGAAAACAAGCACGGUGACCUAUGUUUUAUUUUGUGUUUUAUUUUAUAACUCGCCAAGGCCUACAACAUAUUUCAAUAUUAUAAAAAUGACAUUAUAUCGAGAAACUGUAUCGGAUGCCCUUAAUUCAAU
RNAcentral lists this long non-coding RNA (2930 nucleotides) under Mytilus galloprovincialis (Mediterranean mussel). The record is from RNAcentral. Lineage: Eukaryota; Metazoa; Mollusca; Bivalvia; Mytilida; Mytilidae.